RNAcentral lists this non-coding RNA (27 nucleotides) under Cricetulus griseus (Chinese hamster). Lineage: Eukaryota; Metazoa; Chordata; Mammalia; Rodentia; Cricetidae. The record is from RNAcentral.
UUCAGAACAGGGGUUUUCAACAUGUGG